RNAcentral lists this long non-coding RNA (356 nucleotides) under Panax ginseng (ginseng). Its description in RNAcentral is "long non-coding RNA (PGIN_LNC000886)". Lineage: Eukaryota; Viridiplantae; Streptophyta; Magnoliopsida; Apiales; Araliaceae. The record is from RNAcentral.
ACAUCAAGCUAAAUACGCACUAUGUGCCUUUUAAAAAAAAUGUGUAGACUCGUAACCAUUUUUGAAACGGUUUAAAGUACAGUCUAUGCUACUUAUUUCAGCUAGACUCAAAUGAUUUGAAAUAUCCAAAAUUUGUUUUUAAUUAUCACUCAUGUACCAUGUAACCUGGUGCAGAGAUGAUAAAAAUGAUAGAGUCAUCAAUGCAGUAUUACUUAGUGUGAAUUUGACAUAAAGUCACUAUUCCACUAUGGUAUAAUGUAGAAUUACAAAAUCACCAAAUGACGAAAUCCUCAACGGACUGUAAAUACAGUGCGGCAUCAUGACGUCAUUCUCAAAAAUGUUUUCAAAAAAAAAAA